Molecule: long non-coding RNA, 328 nt
Organism: Raphanus sativus (radish)
Lineage: Eukaryota; Viridiplantae; Streptophyta; Magnoliopsida; Brassicales; Brassicaceae
Exons: 3
Source: RefSeq, a predicted model, not a curated record
CAGGCAAGAAGCUUACCAACUGAUAAGCUUCGGAUAACGUAUAUCUGAGUCAAUAUGGCUGUAUAUUUGGCUCAGGUUGUUAUAUGGGUAUGCAUCUGGGUCAAUGAUAACAGAACAGUGGAGUUAGUUGAAAAGAUAUUUAUGUCAGUUGUGUCUUUCAUCGCGGCAUUAGGCUUCUUGCUCUACGGAGGAAGGUAGUGUUUUUACUUGUCUCGUGAUCAAAGUGUCUGAAAGUUCUUCAAUGGUUUGACUGGGUCGUCUUUUCUCAUGUAUUCCCUUGUAAUGCUAUGUAGAUAAUUUAUUAUACUAAAUGUGGGCCUAAUAAACA